GCUCAUUUUAUCUUGUUUUUUAUCAAUCACCUGUCAUGAAGAUAAGGAAUUCCAAGAAAACAACUGGCAUUAUUCAUGGAAGAAUAAUCUCAACGAAUUUAUUAACGAAUAAUUUCCUGAAACGUUAGACAACUUUUCUUGUUAUUCUUGUUUUAACUUUAAAUGGUUUUGUUAAAAAAAGCGAAAUUUUACAAUGCGUUCUUGGAAAUAUUGUUCUACAUUUGUUUAUUAUGUCUGAUAAAUGGUAAAUUAAUUGAGUCACAAAAACCAACAUCUGUGGCAUGCCACGGUUUUGGGAAAUUAUUGAACAAGACUGACACAACAUGUGAAUCAUACAUUUUGUGUAUUCCGAAUAGAAAUGAUGAUUAUACCAUAUGGAAUCUUAAGUGCGUACAUGGACUUAUUUUUCGUGAGUCUAUACAAAAGUGCGUUUCAAAGGCAACGUAUACAUGUAUGUCAGCUUCAUCUACCGAUGCAACCACACAAAUGUCAUCAACGACAAAAUCAUCAUCGAGUUCAACAAAGCAUUCAACGAUGAUUGAUUUUUUGACAACAACUAAAAAGACUCCAAUUGAGGCAUCAAGUGAAAAUAGUUUAGCUAAGAUUUUAAAAAUAUCUACCACACCAAAACCAGUUAAAUGAAUGAAAAAAACCCAGUCACCUCUUCUUUGAACAUGGUUCAAAGUCAAGAAAGAAAUAUAUAUUUUUGACGUUUGUAAUUAAGUAUGAAGUAUUGAAAAUUAAAAUUUUAUACUUGACCCCACUUCAUGUAAAAUAUAUAUCUAUAUCUAAUAUUGAAAUUUUAUUUUGGAAGAACCAGGUGGGGUCAAGUAUAAAAUUUUAAUUUUUAAUAGUUCAGAAUUUAUUACAUGCGUCAUAAAUAUAUAUUUUUUUCUCGACUUUUUAGUGUCUUAUCUGCAUUAAUGUACUAUUGUACAAAUGUCUUUAUUGUACAAAAAAAACUUUGUUUUUUUUUUUUUUUUUUUGUUGCGAUAUAACAUUUUUUUGUGAAGUCUUUUGAUCAUAUCGAAUUUAAUAAAUCCAGCCUCAAAAUUAUUGUUUUGUAGCUUUGACACACUCACACAUUUGUUUCGAGUUUGACACAUGCUUCUCAAAAAGUUGUUAUUAACGGAAUAAAAGAAUCUGGACUUAUACUUCAAAAUAUCAAGGAGAAAAGGAAGGAGGAAGAGAUACA
Molecule: long non-coding RNA, 1195 nt
Organism: Aphidius gifuensis
Lineage: Eukaryota; Metazoa; Arthropoda; Insecta; Hymenoptera; Braconidae
Exons: 2
Source: RefSeq, a predicted model, not a curated record